Molecule: ribosomal RNA, 494 nt
Filed under: uncultured bacterium
Lineage: Bacteria
Description: partial 16S ribosomal RNA
Rfam family: Bacterial small subunit ribosomal RNA
Source: RNAcentral
GACGAACGCUGGCGGCGCGCUUAACACAUGCAAGUCGAACGGAAAGGCCUGCUUUCCCUUGUGGAUUGCGGGUACUCGAGUGGCGAACGGGUGAGUAACACGUGAGUGAUCUGCCCCCAACUUGGGUAUAAGCCUGGGAAACUGGGUCUAAUUCCCGAUAGGACUGCAGGGUGGUGCCUGUGGUGGAACACGAUUUUCUAGUGGUUGGGGAUGAGCUCGCGGCCUAUCAGCUUGUUGGUGGGGUAAUGGCCUACCAAGGCGGCGACGGGUAGCCGGCCUGAGAGGGUGGACGGCCACAUUGGGACUGAGAUACGGCCCAGACUCCUACGGGAGGCAGCAGUGGGGAAUAGUGCACAAUGGGCGGAAGCCUGAUGCAGCGACGCCGCGUGGGGGAUGACGGCCUUCGGGUUGUAAACUCCUUUCGACCGCGAGGAAGCCACCUGGUUGGAAGGGUGGUGACGGUAGUGGUAGAAGAAGCACCGGCUAACUACGUG